AGAGUUUGAUCAUGGCUCAGAUUGAACGCUGGCGGCAGGCCUAACACAUGCAAGUCGAACGGUAACAGAAAGAAGCUUGCUUCUUUGCUGACGAGUGGCGGACGGGUGAGUAAUGUCUGGGAAACUGCCUGAUGGAGGGGGAUAACUACUGGAAACGGUAGCUAAUACCGCAUAACGUCGCAAGACCAAAGAGGGGGACCUUCGGGCCUCUUGCCAUCGGAUGUGCCCAGAUGGGAUUAGCUUGUUGGUGGGGUAACGGCUCACCAAGGCGACGAUCCCUAGCUGGUCUGAGAGGAUGACCAGCCACACUGGAACUGAGACACGGUCCAGACUCCUACGGGAGGCAGCAGUGGGGAAUAUUGCACAAUGGGCGCAAGCCUGAUGCAGCCAUGCCGCGUGUAUGAAGAAGGCCUUCGGGUUGUAAAGUACUUUCAGCGGGGAGGAAGGGAGUAAAGUUAAUACCUUUGCUCAUUGACGUUACCCGCAGAAGAAGCACCGGCUAACUCCGUGCCAGCAGCCGCGGUAAUACGGAGGGUGCAAGCGUUAAUCGGAAUUACUGGGCGUAAAGCGCACGCAGGCGGUUUGUUAAGUCAGAUGUGAAAUCCCCGGGCUCAACCUGGGAACUGCAUCUGAUACUGGCAAGCUUGAGUCUCGUAGAGGGGGGUAGAAUUCCAGGUGUAGCGGUGAAAUGCGUAGAGAUCUGGAGGAAUACCGGUGGCGAAGGCGGCCCCCUGGACGAAGACUGACGCUCAGGUGCGAAAGCGUGGGGAGCAAACAGGAUUAGAUACCCUGGUAGUCCACGCCGUAAACGAUGUCGACUUGGAGGUUGUGCCCUUGAGGCGUGGCUUCCGGAGCUAACGCGUUAAGUCGACCGCCUGGGGAGUACGGCCGCAAGGUUAAAACUCAAAUGAAUUGACGGGGGCCCGCACAAGCGGUGGAGCAUGUGGUUUAAUUCGAUGCAACGCGAAGAACCUUACCUGGUCUUGACAUCCACGGAAGUUUUCAGAGAUGAGAAUGUGCCUUCGGGAACCGUGAGACAGGUGCUGCAUGGCUGUCGUCAGCUCGUGUUGUGAAAUGUUGGGUUAAGUCCCGCAACGAGCGCAACCCUUAUCCUUUGUUGCCAGCGGUCCG
RNAcentral lists this ribosomal RNA (1131 nucleotides) under Escherichia coli 2866450. RNAcentral's name for it is "bacterial SSU rRNA". It matches the Rfam family "Bacterial small subunit ribosomal RNA", at positions 8 to 1133 of the family's 1533-position model. The record is from RNAcentral. Lineage: Bacteria; Pseudomonadati; Pseudomonadota; Gammaproteobacteria; Enterobacterales; Enterobacteriaceae.